RNAcentral lists this ribosomal RNA (503 nucleotides) under uncultured Parabacteroides sp. RNAcentral describes it as "bacterial SSU rRNA". It matches the Rfam family "Bacterial small subunit ribosomal RNA", at positions 27 to 524 of the family's 1533-position model. The record is from RNAcentral. Lineage: Bacteria; Pseudomonadati; Bacteroidota; Bacteroidia; Bacteroidales; Tannerellaceae.
GGAUGAACGCUAGCGACAGGCUUAACACAUGCAAGUCGAGGGGCAGCACAGGUAGCAAUACCGGGUGGCGACCGGCGCACGGGUGAGUAACGCGUAUGCAACUUACCUAUCAGAGGGGGAUAACCCGGCGAAAGUCGGACUAAUACCGCAUGAAGCAGGGGCCCCGCAUGGGGAUAUUUGCUAAAGAUUCAUCGCUGAUAGAUAGGCAUGCGUUCCAUUAGGCAGUUGGCGGGGUAACGGCCCACCAAACCGACGAUGGAUAGGGGUUCUGAGAGGAAGGUCCCCCACAUUGGUACUGAGACACGGACCAAACUCCUACGGGAGGCAGCAGUGAGGAAUAUUGGUCAAUGGGCGUAAGCCUGAACCAGCCAAGUCGCGUGAGGGAUGAAGGCUCUAUGGAUCGUAAACCUCUUUUAUAAGGGAAUAAAGUGCGGGACGUGUCCCGUUUUGUAUGUACCUUAUGAAUAAGGAUCGGCUAACUCCGUGCCAGCAGCCGCGGUAAU